AUGCCAGGUGUACUAAGAGAACUCGCUGAGCACACUCUUAAUAUUGAGCCAAAGUUUAAGUCGGUCAAGCAGUUUCUUUGGCGGUUCAAUGAGGAGAGGUGGAAGGCCAUUGGUGCGGAGGUAGCCCGGCUCUUAGCAGCUGGGUUCAUCAUUGAAGUUUUUCAUCUAGAGUGGUUGGCUAACCCGGUGCUUGUGCUUAAGAAAAACGGCACUUGGCGUAUGUGUGUAGAUUACACGGAUUUAAACAAGGCUUGUCCAGCUGAUCCUUUUGCUCUCCCUCGUAUUGAUCAAAUCAUUGUUGCUACGACGGGUUGUGCGCGUUUGAGUUUUUUGGAUGCUUACUCCGGUUAUCAUCAGAUCAAGAUGGCGGUGAAGGACCAGGAGAAGACGGUGUUCAUUACUCCUUUUGGAGCCUUCUGCUAUGUAUCAAUGCCUUUUGGGCUCAAGAGUGCCCAGGUGACCUAUCAGCGAUGUGUGCAGAAUUGUCUUCAUAAUCAAAUUGGACGCAAUGUUCAUGCUUAUGUAGAUGACAUAGUGGUGAAAUCCAGAGAGAAGGAGACCUUGAUCGAUGAUCUCAAGGAAACCUUUGACAAUCUUCGGAUUUACAAGAUGAUGCUUGAUACGUCUCCAAUGUAUCUAUAA
Molecule: ribosomal RNA, 642 nt
Filed under: Triticum aestivum (bread wheat)
Lineage: Eukaryota; Viridiplantae; Streptophyta; Magnoliopsida; Poales; Poaceae
Description: partial small subunit ribosomal RNA
Source: RNAcentral